Long non-coding RNA from Solanum tuberosum (potato), 540 nucleotides. RefSeq lists it as uncharacterized. Lineage: Eukaryota; Viridiplantae; Streptophyta; Magnoliopsida; Solanales; Solanaceae. The transcript is spliced from 2 exons. The record is from RefSeq and is a predicted model, not a curated record.
GGAGGACGAUUUUAGUCAAAAGAACAUUAUUCUUAUAACACCGAAUCCACAAAACUUUGACCCCUAGUUUUUAAUUUUAUUUUUUGUUCUUCCGAGCUUUUUCUCGGAGCUCGCCGGAGUUCAAGGGUGGUGGUGGAAUCGUCUUCGGAGUCUCGAGUCCCGGAGUCACUGCUCAAGAAAAGUCCAUGGUGGACAUCUCCUCUUUGCAUUUCCGAGUUGAGCCAUUAAGGCUCCAUUUUUUCCCCUCUUGAGUCAGCCAGGCCAUCGGGGGUAGACGUACAGGUUGGAGACAUAUGGAAAGUCUCAGAAAAAGCUCCAAAUGGGUUGUAUACAGCAGUAUACACUGGUAUACAACUACUGUAUACACUGAUAUACAGUGAUAUGCAAAAAUGGUAAAUGACUGAUACAGGGACGAAAAUGGGCCCAAAGGCUCAAUGGAUAUCAGCAGAUUUAAUCUAAAUGGGCCAAGCCCAAUUAUGGCAAUUUUUUUAGUUAGGACAGGAGGAGAAAAGUUUGGUUGGACAAGAGUCCAAGUUUAUA